UUCAUGAUGUAUGUCAUUAUAUAUUCUUAAUACAUAUUCAUAUUUUUUAAGAUAUUUGUCUAACCUUCCUACUUGCCAGUAUAAACGUAGAGGUCACAUGCGUGGUGCAAUUUCACAAAGAAGACCAGCCCCUUCCCCUUCCCCUUCUCCUUCCUCGUCCCCGUCCCUUUCCUCUUCCCCUCCCCUUUCAUCUAACCCUCAACCACUACAUGCUGAUGGACAACGUGGACACAUUGGCCCUUCCUCCGAUCCUCAAGAACAUAUUAGGGGACAACUUGGACACAUGCGAACCGAAUCUACUUCGGUUCCAACUCCUUCGGUUCCACCUUCUUCGAUGUAACACUCGAAUGAUGAGGGAAACGCAGGUGAAGAAGAUAGUCGAUUCAUGAUAUGCCCAUAUGCAGAUUCAUUCACGGAUGCUACGUAUGUUGUGAGGCAACUUAAUAAAAUAGUCAAUAACUAUUGGAGUGGGCGGUGGAUUAGUUACGGCGGUGCUCCAAAAGAAGUAAAGGAUUUGUGUUGAAAUGAGUUCAAAGUAAGUUUUGUCCUUUUAAUUUCUCACAAACUAAGUUCGGUGUAAAUAAAGUCAGUUGCUUUUGUAUUGAUUGCAGCAUAAGUUCAGGUGAGAUGAAACGGAAGAGGAUGAAGUUAAAAGAAUUUUUAAGAAGAAAGCCGGUGAUCACAUACCAAAUGUGAUGAAUAAAGCACAGAGAAGUCAAGUAAAGCUAGAUUUUAUUACAGGUGACAAUUGGACAGAAAUAAAGACAAUGUGGGAAACUGAAAAGAAUAAGCAAGGGAGUGAACAGAAUAAGAAGAAUCGAGGUUCUAGUUCUAGUGAAGGGUCUGCCACAUAUGUUGGGGGCUUUAUUAAUAUCGGGGAGCAUAGAAAAAGAAUGGCAGAUGAAUUUGGGACAGAACCGACACAUACAGCUACAUUUGAACGCAACAUUAAAAAAAAAAAAAAAAGAUAAGACAUGGACUAGCGAUCAAGCAAAAUCUAGUAAGCUAUGUAAGGUUAUACUUUGGACUUUAUGGAAACUAGAAUGAAAACCAUGAAUGCUUUUAAUAUUUAUGGUAUUUAUAUAUAUGAAGUUAUUUUAUUUUCAUCUAUAUUGUUAAUGUAGGAAAAAUAUGAUGAACUUUUAAUGAGUACUGCUAGUGGUGGUGAUGGUGUUGCUACGUCUGAGCCGGUAGUUAACAAUAUGGCAUUAGGGGUGGAGGCAUUGGGUGGGAUGAAAAGA
Molecule: long non-coding RNA, 1241 nt
Organism: Rhodamnia argentea
Lineage: Eukaryota; Viridiplantae; Streptophyta; Magnoliopsida; Myrtales; Myrtaceae
Exons: 3
Source: RefSeq, a predicted model, not a curated record